Molecule: small RNA, 807 nt
Filed under: Pan troglodytes (chimpanzee)
Lineage: Eukaryota; Metazoa; Chordata; Mammalia; Primates; Hominidae
Description: processed transcript
Source: RNAcentral
CCAGCUCAGCCCCCGACCUGAUGUGUCUCAGUCCUGACCGGAAGAUGGAAGUGGAGGAGCUCAGCCCCCUGGCCCUAGGUCGCUUCUCUCUGACCCCUGCAGAGGGGGAUACUGAGGAAGAUGAUGGAUUUGUGGACAUCCUAGAGAGUGACUUAAAGGAUGAUGAUGCAGUUCCCCCAGGCAUGGAGAGUCUCAUUAGUGCCCCACUGGUCAAGACCUUGGAAAAGGAAGAGGAAAAGGACCUCGUCAUGUACAGCAAGUGCCAGCGGCUCUUCCGCUCUCCGUCCAUGCCCUGCAGCGUGAUCCGGCCCAUCCUCAAGAGGCUGGAGCGGCCCCAGGACAGGGACACGCCCGUGCAGAAUAAGCGGAGGCGGAGCGUGACCCCUCCUGAGGAGCAGCAGGAGGCUGAGGAACCUAAAGCCCGCGUCCUCCGCUCAAAAUCACUGUGUCACGAUGAGAUCGAGAACCUCCUGGACAGUGACCACCGAGAGCUGAUUGGAGAUUACUCUAAGGUUGUUCCCUGGGUGUCAGACCCAAGAGGUGCCUCUCAGUUGCCAUGGGAACCAGAACUGAAUUUGAAGGCCAAAGCAGGCCUUCCUCCUACAGACAGUAGAUGGAAAGCACCAAGACCUCAAGUACAUCUCACCAGAAACGAUGGUGGCCCUGUUGACGGGCAAGUUCAGCAACAUCGUGGAUAAGUUUGUGAUUGUAGACUGCAGAUACCCCUAUGAAUAUGAAGGCGGGCACAUCAAGACUGCGGUGAACUUGCCCCUGGAACGCGACGCCGAGAGCUUCCUGCUGAAGAGC